AUUGUACGCUGGCGGCAGGCUUAACACAUGCAAGUCGAACGAUGAUCCCCAGCUUGCUGGGGGGAUUAGUGGCGAACGGGUGAGUAACACGUGAGUAACCUGCCCUUGACUCUGGGAUAAGCCUGGGAAACUGGGUCUAAUACCGGAUAUGACCUUCCAUCGCAUGGUGGUUGGUGGAAAGCUUUUGUGGUUUUGGAUGGACUCGCGGCCUAUCAGCUUGUUGGUGGGGUAAUGGCCUACCAAGGCGACGAUGGGUAGCCGGCCUGAGAGGGUGACCGGCCACACUGGGACUGAGACACGGCCCAGACUCCUACGGGAGGCAGCAGUGGGGAAUAUUGCACAAUGGGCGCAAGCCUGAUGCAGCGACGCCGCGUGAGGGAUGACGGCCUUCGGGUUGUAAACCUCUUUCAGUAGGGAAGAAGCGUAAGUGACGGUACCUGCAGAAGAAGCGCCGGCUAACUACGUGCCAGCCGCCGCAGUAA
Molecule: ribosomal RNA, 482 nt
Filed under: uncultured bacterium
Lineage: Bacteria
Description: partial 16S ribosomal RNA
Rfam family: Bacterial small subunit ribosomal RNA
Source: RNAcentral